GGCUCAGUAACACGUCGAUAAUCUGCCCUUAGAUUUAGGAUAAGCUCGGGAAACUGAGUCUAAUACUAAAUAGAGGAUUAGUGCUGGAAAGCUUUUUCCUUGAAACGUAAGGUCUAAGGAUGAGUCGGCGGCUGAUUAGGCUGUUGGUGAGGUAAUGGCUCACCAAACCGAGAAUCAGUAGGGGAGAUGAGAGUCUUGGCCCCGAGAAGGACACUGAGAUACUGGUCCUAGCCCUAAGGGGUGCAGCAGUCACGGAACCUUUACAAUGCGCGAAAGCGUGAUAAGGGGAUUCCAAGUGCUUUGCCAAUGGUAAGGCUUUUGCCAAGUGUAAGGAGCUUGGCGAAUAAGUGGUGGGUAAGACCGGUGCCAGCCGCCGCGGUAACACCGUGCGCCACAAGUGGUAGCCAUUUUUAUUGGGUCUAAAGCGUUCGUAGCCCGUUUAGUAAAUUUUAUGUGAAAUCGUCUGGCUCAACCAAACGGUGUGCAUAAAACACUGCUAAACUUGAGACCGGGAGGAGUUAGAGGUAUUCCAGGGGGAGCGGUAAAAUGUUAUAAUCCCUGGAGGACCACCAGUGGCGAAGGCUUCUAACUAGAACGGGUCUGACGGUGAGGAACGAAGGCCUGGGGAGCAAAACGGAUUAGACACCCGUGUAGUCCUGGCUGUAAACGCUGUGUGCUGGGUGGUGCAAAUUCUCCGAGGAUUUGCAGCGCCUAAGUGAAGAUGUUAGGCACACCACCUGGGAAGUAUAGUCGCAAGACCGAAA
Molecule: ribosomal RNA, 764 nt
Filed under: uncultured archaeon
Lineage: Archaea
Description: bacterial SSU rRNA
Rfam family: Archaeal small subunit ribosomal RNA
Source: RNAcentral